UGCUAUAACAUAAAGGAUCUAUCUUUAAUUCUAAAAUGCUUUGCAAUUCUAUUCUCAACAUUUAAAGAAGCAUAAAAAUUAUCACAAGCUAAACAUAAUUUACAUAAUCCAUCAUUCAAAAUACUAUAACGAACAAUCUGAGGGUUAAAUAUUAAAUUAACUUUUUUAUCACAAAAAAUCAAAAUCAGAUUCAAGCCUAGCUAAAGAGGAAACAGAAAUCAAAUCCCUUUUAAAAGAAGGUACA
This 244-nucleotide long non-coding RNA is filed under the name Elaeis guineensis (African oil palm). RNAcentral's name for it is "long non-coding RNA (EGUI_LNC002816)". The record is from RNAcentral. Lineage: Eukaryota; Viridiplantae; Streptophyta; Magnoliopsida; Arecales; Arecaceae.